GUCGUAUUUUGUUUCGGAUAACUUUUGGAAAAUCGAAAGAUUAAACUAUCGAUCAUCCGUCGAACCGUAUCGUAGAAAUCUCCUCCUUCGUUAUCUUUGUUUACACGAAUCGCCGCGUUAUUACCCGCACAUCGGUGCGACCACGCUUUGCCUCCACAGACUACGUCGCCUCACCACCGCCGACUGUCGACGGAAAAUCGACGCCCACCAGUCGGCCACAGAAAACGAGAUGAGAGAGACGGGACUCCUCCAAUCUCUUUUACCGUCUCCGUCGCACUUUCGAAAGACUCGGGGAUCUCGGCUCACUUCAGACCCGUACCACCGCCCUCCUCUUUCUAGCUUCACACCACCGAAUGGAACUUCACAUAUAUAGUAGUAGAUAUAUAUAUCACAGGUGUGCGUGCACAUAUCACACGAAUAUACUACAUCCACAUACUUUUUAUGUACAACGGCGAUGUGUCCACGUGUAAUAUUGUAUGUACAGAUUUUGGGUGGGUAUGGGAGAGACCUACACAGAAAAAGACGGCGGUUGCUCGCGGUACAUCGUAGAUCGCGUGCUACCCGCGCGAGUCCACGUGCGUUUGUGUGGGUUUCACGUGGAUUAAAUUUGAGCGAUAGACGUCGCGUCCACAUCUACGGCAACCUCCGCACAACUUCGCGAAUUAGGCCCAGUGAGAAAAACGGCGUUUUCCGGCCUUGUACCGACACGACGCGAUGCCCGCAAACGUAGUGUGUUGGUAAGCGAACGCUUCGUCACGUGAUAAGUAGCGGCUGAUAUGAAUUUCGCACGUAAACGCGGUUGUGCAGCCGCAUGCGAUAUGUGAGUCAAGGUUUCUAGGGGUUGUAAAAAUACGCUCGGAAGGAAUAAUUCAUAUUUCACACGCACAUCGAAGCGAAGCGACGAUGAAGACGCGCUAAAAAAUCAUAGCGAUUUAACUCGUUCCGACCACCCGUCAUCCGCCGGCUGAUUAACGAUAGGAAAAAGAGAAAAAAGGACAAAAAAAAAAUAAAAAUUAAAAAUUAAAAAUUAAAAACGAGGUAACACCUAUACGAUUAAUGAUCCUCUGACCCGACCCUGCACGAAUCAAGGCUCUCUGCGUAGAAGUCGACUCGGAUUUGCUAAUUUAUUUAUAAUGUCCAUAAACGGCGUACGAUUGUCAGGUUUUUCAACAACGAAUCUCUUCCGGUGGACCAUGAACUUUUGAACGAAUUUCGGUAAACAAUUGAGAGAAAAGGAACGAGAUGAAACGGACCCCCUUUCGGCAUCUCGUGGGCACGUGAACGUUUCAUUCGAAACAUUCGUAUACCGGUUCGGAGUGUUUUGUCUACGCUCUUUAAUACAGUGGUGUAAUUAGAGUUGUAUAAGAAUAAACUAACGCGAAUGAGAGUAACGUUAUGGUCGUUAUCAUUUUCAUUAUUAUUAUUAUUAUUAUUAGUAUUAUUAUUAUAGUGCGGUCGACGUUUGUAAACUUGCCCCAAGGAAUGUGCGAUCGAAGAAUUUUCCAUCUAACUUUUCCAUCUGUUUAAUUUUCUCAUUUUUAUUUUCUAUUGGUUUCAGAUAACGAGCGCACCUAAUAGUCGAGGAUUUCGAUAACAAUGAAAGGCGAAUCACGGCAUUCGAAAUUUCUCAAUUAUACUGAACAUGACGCGAUGAUAAAUUUGGAUGAAUUUUUGAUUUCGGUUAUGAGAGAUGCAGAUAUUAUUCGAGCAGUUAUCAGAGGCACGAAUCGGAGAGACUCUUCGAUAUCCAUUAUUUUUUCUUCUUUUUGAUUCUACAAGGUAACAAAUACCAAUGAAGCUUAGCGCGCUCGAAUAUCAGAGAGAAUGAUCGUUUCUCUUCUCGAAACUCGGAUCAUUCAUCUCCGCAGAUACAAUCGUAAGUUAAAACUACGAAUAGUAUAUAAUAUAUAUCAGAGCCAAGAGGGAUAUACGAAUUCAGCGAAACUUAAUAUCGCGGUUAUUACGUAAUUCGUGUACGCUGUAAUUAAGCCUCUGCAUUUGCCCGGAAAGAACAACGACAGAUCGUCCAAUCUCCGAUGUGUACAUAUGUACGAAUAAACCUCUCGUAGUUAUAUUAUAUUAUAUCCGCUUCGCGUACAGAUUACGAAACAACAAAAUGUGAAACAACGACGGUGUCCGUCCAGUCGUGUCUGUGGUUCUCACAGCGCGCGACUCGAACGAGACACACAUAAUUCCCGGUACGAAACCAUUCGUACACUUACGUACGUAUACGUAUUUCAAUUCGACCAUAAGUCUAUUUAUUUAUAUUCAUUCUUCAUAUGUGAUCUAGGCGGGCCGCCCACCUCAAGGAGUGUGACGUCAUAUCAAAAAUCGAAUCGAGACCACGGGGCCGCGAUUGGUUUUCUGGGUUUCCGAUUCGAGGAUUUUCGUGAUGAGCGGUAGAA
Athalia rosae (coleseed sawfly) is the source of this 2405-nucleotide long non-coding RNA. RefSeq lists it as uncharacterized. The record is from RefSeq and is a predicted model, not a curated record. Lineage: Eukaryota; Metazoa; Arthropoda; Insecta; Hymenoptera; Athaliidae. The transcript is spliced from 2 exons.